RNAcentral lists this small RNA (75 nucleotides) under Sphingobium vermicomposti. RNAcentral describes it as "Sphingomonas sp. VC-230 Makes More Granules Regulator RNA (mmgR)". It matches the Rfam family "Makes More Granules Regulator RNA (mmgR)". From Rfam's summary of the family: SuhB later renamed mmgR (makes more granules regulator) was a putative non-coding RNA found multiple times in the Agrobacterium tumefaciens genome and related alpha-proteobacteria. Other non-coding RNAs uncovered in the same analysis include: speF, ybhL, metA, and serC. Several studies inSinorhizobium meliloti showed that suhB element is indeed a non-coding RNA:firstly it was detected on Northern blot and called Sm8RNA, secondly in an RNAseq study referred to as SmelC689. Lineage: Bacteria; Pseudomonadati; Pseudomonadota; Alphaproteobacteria; Sphingomonadales; Sphingobiaceae. The record is from Rfam by way of RNAcentral.
GGAUCGGGCCUUUCAGGCAUCCUCUCCUUAACCUUUUCGGGCUGGCCUUCGGGUCAGCCCUUUUUUUUGUUCGUG